Molecule: ribosomal RNA, 504 nt
Filed under: uncultured Lentisphaera sp.
Lineage: Bacteria; Pseudomonadati; Lentisphaerota; Lentisphaeria; Lentisphaerales; Lentisphaeraceae
Description: bacterial SSU rRNA
Rfam family: Bacterial small subunit ribosomal RNA
Source: RNAcentral
GAUUUGAUCCUGGCUCAGAACGAACGCUGGCGGCGUGGAUUAGGCAUGCAAGUCGUGCGCGAAAGCGGGCUUCGGCUCGUUAGUAGAGCGGCGAACUGGUGAGUACAAGGUGACUAACCUGCCCUUGAGUGGGGAAUAACCUGUCGAAAGACGGGCUAAUACCGCAUGGUUUCUUCGGGUUUCGGCCUUAAGAAUAAAGCAGUAAUGCGCUCAGGGAUGGGGUCACCUCCCAUUAGCUAGUUGGUGGGGUAACGGCCCACCAAGGCUACGAUGGGUAGCUGGACUGAGAGGUUGGCCAGCCACACUGGGACUGAGAUACGGCCCAGACUCCUACGGGGGGCAGCAGUCUAGAGGCUUUGACAAUGCCCGAAAGGGUGAUCAAGCGACGCCGCGUGCGGGAUGAAGGUCUUCGGAUUGUAAACCGCUUUUGUUUGGGGAGAAGGCCCUGCUCGUGAAGCAGGGAUUGACGGUACCAGACGAAUAAGCCCCGGCUAACUCCGUGCC